CUUUGCAUCCACUUCUUGUGGCAAGAGCUGAGCCUCUUUGCUGCAAAUCUUGGACAGGAUCUUUGGUGAGUUCUUGCUGCACUUUUUCUAGGAUUUUUUGUAGCACUUGAAACUUGGUAAAUGCAAUGGCUUGAGUGCUUAAGGCUGGUUCUGGAAUUUUUUUUUGUACUAUUCUGGAAAUUUUUACACUGCAACAUGCUUUCUUUAUAUGUUUCACACUCCUCUUUGGCAUCAGGGAUAUUCUCCAAACAGACUUUAAUAGCCUAAGAACAAAGAAAUUUAAAGCACAUUAUGUCAAGCCCAGCUCUACAAUAUAUUUAUUAUACCAUUCCUACAUAAGAAUGCAUGUUUGCUUACUUGGGUACCUCGAAAAUCGUUAAAGGACGACAAUGUACCAAAUGGUACAAAUAAGUUGAAUUAAGCCUCGAACUAGUCCAAAUAGAGAUUUUAAGAUGAAAUUGAGAAUUUUAAAACCACAGAAUGACUUAAAAUGGUGAUUCGGAGUUCGAGGACUGAUUUGGAGUCAAAUUGAAAUUUUCAUGACUUAGGGGUAAAAUGGUCAUUUUGCCACCCGAGGUUAAGAUGUGAGUGUUGGAUGGAAGUUUUGACUAAGAUUGAUCAUUUGGAGUAUAAUUUGAGUUUGAGAAGUGAAGAAUUUUAAUUUUGACAUUUUUUCGAGCAUAGGGGUAAAAUAGUCAUUUUACCAUCCAAGGGCAAAAUCGUAAUUUUACACCACCCAACACUCGUCCAGCACAUGAAUUUUACCCAAUAUUAUCAUGGAUAAUUGAGAAAAUUUAAGUGGUGGAGAGAGAUUGCUUAAUGGGUAAGUAUGACACAUGGACCAAUAGAAUGGUGACACAUGAUAAAUUUUUGUCCAUUUAAUAUUUUCCUUUAUAAAGCCAAUUUGAACUCUUCCACAUUCAUUCUUAUGGCCGGUCAAAGCAAGAACAAAGGAAGAAAAGAAAGAACAAAACCCUAGGUGAAAAAAUUGAAGGAAAAAGUGUGAAAAUUCAAGGAAACAAGUGAAAAAAGAUAAGAUUUUUCAAUUAAGCUUGAGAUCUCUCUUUCUUAAGUAUUUUUUCUUAUUUUUCAUGGUUGAAUCAUAUGAAAUCAUGAUGAAUCCCUUGCUGGCCGAACACUUAGAGGGAGGUUUUGAUGCUUGAUUUGGUUAGAUUUCAAUGUAUUUUAGUGUUUUUAGUUAGUUAGUGAUGUGUAGAUGAAAAGUCAACAAGAAAAAUUCAUUUUCUCCCAUCACUCAUCAUUGGCUGAAUCUUCCAUGUAGAGUGUGGAUGGUGGAUUUGAUUUUAUUUCAAGUGAAUUGGUUAGGAAAUGAUGAAUUACGGUGAGAAAAUCAAGUAGGAAAAAUCAUAGUGUUGAUGCACCCACCAUGGCCAAAAUUUUCCAAGAGAAAAUGUGAAGAUGAUUUUGCUAAAUUUUAUGCUAUUUGACUUGUGUUUGAUGGUUUGGAGAAUUGGAAGAAAAAUGGAUUUAAUUGGAAUUGAAUUGGACAUAUUGGUCAAUUAAUCGAGUGAUAGAUCGAAUUAGGCCAAUACCGUUUUAUUUAGAUACACAAUUGAAUUUGUGUAGAACACCGUGGUUAGACGAUAAUUCGAACAAUUUGCAAUCCAUUUCAUGCAUCCAUAUAGUUUUGUAACGGUUUAGCACUAAUGUAGUAAAUUGCUUGAUUUUGCAUUAUGUCUAAGUGGUGAAUCCUCCGAUAAGGGCAAAGAAAUUGUACCCGAGGAUCGAUAGUCGGAGUACUCUAAAAAUUCGACUUCCAAAAUAAUGAGUAACCUUAUCAUCAUCUUGAUUAUCUGAAGUGAAUUUUAAUUCGUUUUUAUGAUUUUAUGAAAAUGAGUUUAAAUGGCAAAUCUUUAUGUUUUAUAAGCAAAAUGUGAAUAAAUGAAAUGAUUUUAUAAAAUUGUCUUGAAAUUGAAUGAUGGUUUUGAAAAUGGAGUAAUUGAAGACCAAUUGCUGUGUUAUAAAUUAUGAUUUGAAUUGAAUGGCUUAUGAUAAUAUUGGCAUGAACGGUUGAAUUGGUAAAUGUGCUGAAAAUGUAUGAACUGUUGAUUUGCCUUGAGAGGCUGUAAAAUAAAAUAAUUGUCAUGUCAUGCUAUUGCAAAUUUUAUUGUAUGGUGGGUUUAGCUUGCUGCAGUGGGCGGGUUUUGUGGACCAACCUUUUUUAAGGGCACAAAAUCUUGUCAUAUUCUUACCUCGAUUGGGGAGGUGCGUAGGGUAACUCCCGAGGUACACCUUUAGAGUUCACUUCACGCCAAACCACCACGUGAGGGUAAACUCAGCCAACACCAAGGAAUGGUUAUGUUUUCAAAAUAAAAACAUGAUUUAUGCGUACACGACUUUUUAACAGCCUUGGCGGACUCGGUUGGGAUAGCCCCAGGUCAAGGUAUCCCUGAUAAUUGAGUAUGAGAAUGAUAUUGGCACGAGUCAAGCUUUUCGAGAAAUCAUAAGCCUCGUUGUUUAUUUAGGUGAAAUGAAUCUAUUUUAUCUUAUUAAAAUCAGUUCGAAAUGCUGUGAAUCAUUUUUAUGCUAAUCUAUUUUAUCUGUCUUAAUUUACUUGGCUUUAGAUAUUUUAGAUGAUAUUUGUUUACUCAUUGGGAUUAUAUAAUCUCACCACCCUCCUUUCCACCCCUUUCAAGCUCAAGAUAGUCGGUAGAUAGCUCAUUUCAUUGAGGGUUACAGUUGGACUUGCAUCCUAAAAAACUGUAGGUUUACCGCUUUUGAUACUUUUGGUAGUUCGUGGGCCCACAUGUCACUGUAAAUUAAAUCUUAUGCUUUGGUUAUCUGUAUUAUAGUAUGUAUAAAUUUAUUUAGUUUUUACGCAAAAUUAUUUACUGGUAACUCUAUAAAUAUUGUUUUGUAAGAAAAUAAAAUAUUUUUAUUAUAUUCAAAUAGGUAUAGUUNAAAUGCCCCUAGUAAGAAAAAAAUUAUUUUUCUAUUGUUUUGAUUUGGAAAUAGUUUAUAAUCUCUCAAAACAUGAUACUUAACAACUGUUGCUCACAGGGGAGGUGCGAAAACUGAUAUUAAAACCUUGCGAGGUUCCGGUUGGCAUCCGAGCAAUGAAUGUCUAUCGGGACGUCGCAGCGGUUGUCACGGGCUCGAGGGGAGUACCGAGUCUUGACACAUUAACUCAGGAGGAAAUGGGAAGACAUAGUAGAAAUAAACAAUGUAAAAGCCCAAUUUGGGAUUAUCUCUGUUAAGCUAUGGUGAUGUAUAAAUCACUAUAUUUCAAAGGAAGAUUAAGACAUUUAGGUGGAUAUUUAAGAAACACAAUCUAGGGUUGUUGUCAAACAUGACUUGGUUAACUUUUUAUUUGAUUAAUUUAUCUUUCUAUUUGAGUAAAUAAAUAGUAAUUAAAAGACAUGUCUGUUACAAG
Molecule: long non-coding RNA, 3394 nt
Filed under: Theobroma cacao (cacao)
Lineage: Eukaryota; Viridiplantae; Streptophyta; Magnoliopsida; Malvales; Malvaceae
Description: long non-coding RNA (TCAC_LNC004860)
Source: RNAcentral